ACUUAAACCGUCCUUCACACCGCGGACUGCACAGGCACAGGCUGAAGCGCUGUGGUCCCGCAGGGAUCCCCUCGCCUGGGCCGUUGUGUGGGCGGACUCGCGAGGGAGGUUCACGACGCUCUGCCCCGCCCCGCGGCCCCUGAGGCUUCUUCAAGUUCGGCCUUUACGAGGUCUUCAAGAUCCGCUCCGCGGAGCUCCUGGGCCCAGAGAAAGCCUACGGGUGGAGAGCCGGCCUGUACCUUUUCGCCUGGGCCAGCGCCGAGUUCUUCCCCGAUGUCUCGCUGGAGCCCAUGGAGGCGGUCAAGGUCCGCGUGCAGACGCGACCGGGCUACGCCAGCACCCUGCGAGCCACGGCGUCCAGGAUGUAGGGCGAGGAGGGCCUGUGGGCCUUCUACAAGGGCGUGGCGCCGCUGUGGCUGAGGCAGAUCCCCUACACCAUGAUGAAGUUCGCCUGCUUCGAGCGCACGGUAGAGGACCUCUA
Molecule: long non-coding RNA, 481 nt
Filed under: Homo sapiens (human)
Lineage: Eukaryota; Metazoa; Chordata; Mammalia; Primates; Hominidae
Description: non-protein coding lnc-GLIS1-1:4
Source: RNAcentral